This 744-nucleotide ribosomal RNA is filed under the name uncultured bacterium. RNAcentral describes it as "bacterial SSU rRNA". It matches the Rfam family "Bacterial small subunit ribosomal RNA", at positions 8 to 796 of the family's 1533-position model. The record is from RNAcentral.
AGAGUUUGAUCCUGGCUCAGAGCGAACGCUGGCGGCAGGCUUAACACAUGCAAGUCGAACGGGCACCUUCGGGUGUCAGUGGCAGACGGGUGAGUAACACGUGGGAACGUGCCUUUCGGUUCGGAACAACCCAGGGAAACUUGGGCUAAUACCGGAUACGCCCUUACGGGGAAAGAUUUAUCGCCGAAAGAUCGGCCCGCGUCUGAUUAGCUAGUUGGCGAGGUAACGGCUCACCAAGGCGACGAUCAGUAGCUGGUCUGAGAGGAUGAUCAGCCACACUGGGACUGAGACACGGCCCAGACUCCUACGGGAGGCAGCAGUGGGGAAUAUUGGACAAUGGGCGAAAGCCUGAUCCAGCCAUGCCGCGUGAGUGAUGAAGGCCUUAGGGUUGUAAAGCUCUUUCGACGGGGACGAUAAUGACGGUACCCGUAGAAGAAGCCCCGGCUAACUUCGUGCCAGCAGCCGCGGUAAUACGAAGGGGGCUAGCGUUGCUCGGAAUCACUGGGCGUAAAGGGCGCGUAGGCGGACUUUUAAGUCAGAGGUGAAAGCCCAAGGCUCAACCUUGGAAUUGCCUUUGAUACUGGGAGUCUAGAGACCGGAAGAGGUAAGUGGAACUGCGAGUGUAGAGGUGAAAUUCGUAGAUAUUCGCAAGAACACCAGUGGCGAAGGCGGCUUACUGGUCCGGUUCUGACGCUGAGGCGCGAAAGCGUGGGGAGCAAACAGGAUUAGAUACCCUAGUAGUCC